UUAUCUUUCCCUAAACCUAAUUUCUAUACCCAUCCGUUGCCUCUCCUUUUUCCCUUCCAUUUUGGACGAUUUUUGUACCUUUCUUUCACCGUCACAAGACCUUGCUCCACCAUUUUGGUGAAAGUUUCAGACAUUACCCAAAGUUAUUUUGUUCUCUUCCACAAAUCUCUUUGUUCCAAGUCAAAAUUUCAUCACAAGAGAUUCGUUUAGACUAGAGAUAGGUCACGGGCUUAUUUUCUCUGUCGAUCCAUAUCAGUCCCUUUCUCUUCUCUCUUCCGGCAUGAUUUUGACCUCUCACAACGACUAUAUUUCAAAGUUGAAAAGUUUCCGCUCAUGAAUCUGGAAACCCUAACCUUUUCCUAUAAAUACAUCUCUAACUCUCAGCCAAAGGGGCUUUCUUUUUUUACCGAAGAUUUACCACAUUUUCGUUAUCAACAUUAUUGCUCCAAAGAAGAGACUUUCUGGUGACUUUCCAUCCGAAAUUCGGAUUUGUUCGUGAGUAGGGAAGUAGAUCUGGAUCGUCGUCUCCUUCACUGCACCCGAAACAGACCUUGGGGAGCCCGAGGCGUAGAUUGGGAUUAACUUUAGGUUGGCUAUCUUGGAGGGCGUUCGAGGUAUGUAAAGCAACCUUCCUUCUUUUGGCAUGCCUUAGUUUUACAUAGGCUAGAUUAGAGCCUUAAGGGAAUUCCAAAUUCGAAAUCCGAGCAUGAUAUGAUCCUUAUAUAAUUCUUGGCACUCUUAUGCAUGAUUUGAUAAGAAUAUGAACCAUUAUAUCUUCGAAAUAAUCGUUUUCCAAAUGUUGCACAAAAAGUUUGUUUAGAGAAUUCCAUAACUUUUGAAUGCCAUAUCUUUCGCAUAAAGGCUCGGAUUGUUCCAAUAUUUUUAUAGGAGUUGCAUGAUGUAUAAUGAGUAUGAUUUCCAUAGGCGGGCCUGACUCGGGUCAAUACCCGUUCGUGGGUCCCGCGACUUUCCUUUAUGCGAUUCGGAGAACUUUUGAAAGAAUUUGGUAUGACUAUUAUUCCGAUUUCGAAUAUGAUCAUUUUUACUUAUGUUUGAGUUUGUGAUAAUGAUUUUGUGCAUAUGACUACUCACGAUUCUACUCGUGCAUUCUGUUAUCCCUUCGCCGAGUCCCGGGCCGGUUAUGUUGUCGUGCGCACUUUGAUAUACUCCGGAGUUAUGCUGUGCUUAUGGUUCACCGAGCUACUCGCCAAAGAGGGUCGGGUUCCACUUAUAUAUGAUGAUAUGGUGUGUAUGGCGUUAUGCUGUGUUAUGAUAUGUGACGGGGGUUCGGAGGUUAGAAACCUUUCCGGUGUUAUGCUGUGUUAUGGCGCCAUCGACGGGCGGGCGACCAUAUUCUUCUGUACCUUCUGCAUGACUUACAUAUUUUUAAAGUAAACAUUUUGAUACGUUGGAUUUGUACAUAUUCUUUGUACUACUAAUCCGUUUAUGUCUCAGGUUUGCUUCUGUAUAUUCUACUUUGCAUACUCAGUACAUAUUUCGUACUGACCCCCUCUCUUCGGGGGUUGUGUUUCAUGCCCGCAGGUACAGACACACAGUUUAGUGAUCCACCAGUCUAGGACACCCUCUUCUGCUAUUUGGAGUGCUCUUCUCAUUCCAGAGCCUACAUUUUGGUAUAUAUAUUUUGUUCGUUGUGUAUGUAUAUAUUUGAUCAGGGGUACGGCGGGGCCCUGUCCCGCCAUAUGUUUUGACUGGUCUGUUUAGAGGUCUGUAGACGUAUUUGUGGGUGUGUGCGCCUACUUCUGUUCAGAUGCGAUUGUAUGAUCCUAUAUGGUUAUGGCAGCCUUGUCGGCGUGCAUUCUGUAUAUGUUUUGGGCCAUUGUGCCAUUUGGUAGCCUUGCCGGCUUUUUGAUAUAUAUAUAUAUAUAUCCGCA
This is a long non-coding RNA of Lycium barbarum (goji berry), 1892 nucleotides long. RefSeq lists it as uncharacterized. The transcript is spliced from 2 exons. The record is from RefSeq and is a predicted model, not a curated record. Lineage: Eukaryota; Viridiplantae; Streptophyta; Magnoliopsida; Solanales; Solanaceae.